This 293-nucleotide ribosomal RNA is filed under the name Escherichia coli. RNAcentral's name for it is "partial 16S ribosomal RNA". It matches the Rfam family "Bacterial small subunit ribosomal RNA", at positions 1 to 288 of the family's 1533-position model. Lineage: Bacteria; Pseudomonadati; Pseudomonadota; Gammaproteobacteria; Enterobacterales; Enterobacteriaceae. The record is from RNAcentral.
UUAAAUUGAAGAGUUUGAUCAUGGCUCAGAUUGAACGCUGGCGGCAGGCCUAACACAUGCAAGUCGAACGGUAACAGGAAGCAGCUUGCUGCUUCGCUGACGAGUGGCGGACGGGUGAGUAAUGUCUGGGAAACUGCCUGAUGGAGGGGGAUAACUACUGGAAACGGUAGCUAAUACCGCAUAACGUCGCAAGACCAAAGAGGGGGACCUUCGGGCCUCUUGCCAUCGGAUGUGCCCAGAUGGGAUUAGCUAGUAGGUGGGGUAACGGCUCACCUAGGCGACGAUCCCUAGCU